AUUGAAACGGAUUUCCAACUUCCUGAGAGAUUCAACCUCACGCUAGGAUUUUAUGGCUUUCUCCCCAUCAAGUUGUAGUAAUUCCUGUUGGUAGUAAAUAUGAUGAUUAUGCUGAACCGGUAAAUUUAAUUUGAUUCAAAAGAAGCUCCAUGCAGCUGGUUAUCGUGUUGAUACAGACUUGGAUCACGGAUCAACACUAAAUAAGAAAGUUCGCAAUGCACAACUUUCACAGUACAACUUCAUUCUUGUUGUUGGUGAAAAAGAGACGGUCUCAGACACGGUCAACGUCAGAACACGUGACAACAAAGUACUCGGUGAAAAAUCGGUCAUGGCCGUGAUCGAACGCUUGCGAGAUUUAGUCAGCUCACGAAGUCUGACAAGCGAA
This is a long non-coding RNA of Xenia sp. Carnegie-2017, 385 nucleotides long. RefSeq lists it as uncharacterized. The record is from RefSeq and is a predicted model, not a curated record. The transcript has 4 exons. NCBI's taxonomy places the organism in Eukaryota, Metazoa, Cnidaria, Anthozoa, Malacalcyonacea, Xeniidae.